ACGGUGGUGACGAAAAAGGUAGACGUAGUAUGCUUAGGACAUACUGAUUAACCAUAUCAUAAGGGUUCAAAUCCCUUCUACCGUA
RNAcentral lists this transfer RNA (85 nucleotides) under Pneumocystis canis. Its description in RNAcentral is "tRNA-Thr". It matches the Rfam family "tRNA". From Rfam's summary of the family: Transfer RNA (tRNA) molecules are approximately 80 nucleotides in length. Their secondary structure includes four short double-helical elements and three loops (D, anti-codon, and T loops). The record is from RNAcentral. Lineage: Eukaryota; Fungi; Ascomycota; Pneumocystomycetes; Pneumocystales; Pneumocystaceae.